RNAcentral lists this long non-coding RNA (274 nucleotides) under Capsicum annuum. Its description in RNAcentral is "long non-coding RNA (CANN_LNC009745)". The record is from RNAcentral. Lineage: Eukaryota; Viridiplantae; Streptophyta; Magnoliopsida; Solanales; Solanaceae.
GUCUUAGGGUCUUUUCUGUUGUUUGGGUUCUUAGAUUAAUGAAUGUUGUGUGUCAAGUUUCUAUUUCUUUCUUUGUAAAUCUUGUUAACAUUGUGUUGUUGAAUAUAAAAGUCUAGUGAAGCCGUGUGGGCUCUUUCGAUUCACUAGCAAUAUUGUCUUUGUUGUUCUUGUUGUUAAACUCACUUUUCUAGUUCAAACAAGUGUUGCAGGCCUAGUGAAGCCGUGUGUGGCCAUUUUCGAUUCACUAGCACUUUGUUGUUCAUCUUGUUGUUCU